AUUUCACAAAAUGGCUACCUUGCAAUGUACAAGUUUGUUGUGUUCUCUCUUUAUUAUGUUAAAUAUAAGGAUAAUUUUCUGAAAUGUUUGAGCAAUUUGCAAAUGAAAUGAAUUUAUUAUUAAUAUAAAGUGAAUCAACCACCUGUAAAGGGAGUUUUUAGAUGCGGCUGGGCGAAUCAAUUUGGCGAUUGAAUCGAGAAAAGAUCCCAAGCUUUAAUAUGAUGGAAUACUCGUCUUGGGCUCAACAGCAAUUAAUAAUGGACAAUCAACGUUAUUAUGCUCAGUAUAUGGAGGAAUUAUCUCACUAUCAUCACAAUCAUCACAAUCAUCAUCACCAUCAUCAACGAUCUGAUCUAGUAGAAGAGGAUAGUGAGCAAAUCGGAGAUGAAAUGCACGAUACAAUGACGUCUGCCACUUCCUGUGAUCGUAGUUCAAGUGCCGAUCUCUUCAGACUUGAAUUCGCCGCAACUCAAUGGUCUAAACUCGUUUCCAAUGCGGAAGGUCUCUUCAAUAAGCUUAUCGUAAGUAAUAUUUUGCCUCAUACCGAACAAGAUCAAAUAGAACAAUGGCUAUGCAUGAAACAAGAAUACGAGGAAUGUAUCACGAGCGAUGAUACAGCGAGUUUUCAAGGAUUCGCCGACAAUGCAAGAAGAUCACUAGAAAUAAUUGAAGAGGUCACGGAAACUGAUGAGAAAACCGACGAAUCCGAAAAUCGAAUGGACUAUCGAGACAGAUCGGACACAUGUUCGGAAACGGAGAGUGAAAUUUCCGAGGAGGACGACGAAGACGACGAGGAAGAUGACGAGGAGGACGACGUCGACGACGAUGAAGAGGAAGAGGAAGACGACGACGACGAAGAUCAAAGCGACACAAAUUCCGAAAAUCCCGAUUUCGCCGAGAGACUCGACGAAUGCAUGACUAAAUUCAUAUUCGAAACCGAUGGAUUUAUUGAUUCAAAUAAAGAAUUUCGAGAGCCAACAACACCAAUUAUUCCACAAAUAUCAAGAAACAAUAACGACACGAGUCCAAUAAUGAAACCAAUGCCCAGAAGAAAUCCAAACAUGAGACGAAAUUCAAUGCUUCCUGGUUCGGAAAUGUGUAACGGUCUACUCGCCUUCAAUGACAAUUUCAAACUCACUCAAGCUCAGAAUAUUCAAACCGACUCGUCAAACAGUAUUAGUCUCUCGAAAAUUUCCGAAACUGCCCAAAGCAGCGAAUUAGAACCACAAAAUAACAAUAACGAAAUCGCCAUAAUGUCCCAAUCGGAGAAUUCACCAAAUUCAUUCCUAGACGUUCUGAGAAAUUCCGAAAGUCCUGGACCAAUAAAAGAACUCAAAGCCCUAACAAAAAACAACAAAGCUAAACAAAAGGAGGUAUUAAAAAUCCAAUCAGAUCUCGAAGGAGCGCACAAGAGAAUCGAAGAACUGCAAUCAACGAUAAAAAUAAAAGAGCGCUUUAUAGCCGAAAUGAUACAAAAUUCCGAUACAAAAUCGUGCGCAAAGCAGAGAUUUCACCAUAAGCAGACAAAACUAAAAGAGGAAUAUUACAACACAAGAACGCAAUUAGCUCACGCCGAGAGUGCAUUCACGACUAAUGAAACCGGCGAGAGAUCAACGUACAAAAAAGAAAUUGAACUCUAUCGAAAUAUGGCAUUUCACUACGAAAAAAAAUUAAUGGACAUUGAAAUGAUAAGGCGAAUUGCUGGCGAUUCGGCGAGAAAAGUACGCGAACUCGAAAAUUCCCUCAGUCUAUCAAAGAAGCAAAUGGAGGAACUUACACGUCAACUGAAAAAGGAGGAACGCCUAAAAAAGCAACUAGAAGACGAAGUUGCCGAGGAUCAAAAGAAAAUUCGCGAUCUAGAAGAGAAAUAUAAUCUAACAGCUUCAAAAUUAAAGGAAAUUCAAUCGGAAAGCGAGGACGAACGGGCAAAAUCAAGAAGUGAGAGAAUAUCCUAUCUCGAUCAGGUCCUGAAAGAAAAAUCAAUGGAUCUCGAGAAAAUUGACGAUACAGAUGAAAAGAAAGCCUUACGACACGAAAUACAAAAUUUUCGUUGUACACGUGAUCGGCUAAUUGAUGAGAAAUUACAUAAAGAAAAAACCUUCACGACAGUUGAUGAUGAACGUGAUUUAUUCGAAUGUAGAGAGACCAUCGAUGUUAUCGACGCAGUGAUUGAACAUAAAAAUGAAAUGAUUUGCGGUAGGAAAGAUUUCGACGAGGAUUUAAAGAAGAGAAAUAAUGGAAUGUGCCUGGAGCAACUGGAUAAAUUGACGGACGGCGAAAUGAAAAAUCUCUUUCACACCUAUUUCAGCAAGGUCGUUGAUUUGAAGCAAAAUCUUCAAUCGCUCGAGAGUCAUAAUCAACAAUUGGAAAUUCAUAAUGAAAAAUUGGAGAAGGAAAAUGUUUGUCUAAAGCAUGAAUAUCGAACAAUGUUUAAUGUAUUGAAACAAGUGAAACUUGAAGCUGAGAAAAGAGAUGUUUUGCGGCAGGAAAAAUAUCAACGACAAUCGCAUUUAAUGCUUAAACAUUUUGCGGAGAAUUCAAGUAGUUCGGGACAACAUGAGAAAAUUGAUAAUGAUUCGGAGAUUGCGAGGUAUAGAAAGGAAAAUCGAAUAUUAAAGAAACGAUUACAGGACGCUGAGGCUCAUAAUAAAUCUCCACCUACCAAAGUAACAAGAGAGAAGAAUAAAUUAAUUAUUCAAAAGACUACCGACUCGGACAAAAAGAAGAAGUGAGUUCAACAUUAAUUAGAUAGGUUUCAAAAAAAAGUUGAGAAGGAUUCCCACGAAGCAGGAAGCAUCUUCUUCUGCCCAAACACAACAGCAAUAAAUCGAAAUUUGUGAAUCGUACUGUAAAUGAUAGAAAGAUUUUCUCAUCAGAAACGUACAUAUUUUCAGUAAAGUGACGUGUUUAAAAAAUUUGCAAACUAUUAAAAAUUAAAUAUUCUUCUUCAAAUUUAGGAAAGUUUUAGUUUCGGGAGUGUUCGAACUUUUUUUAAAACCGCGAACGAUUGUAGGGUGUUUAUAAAUUGUAAUUGAUUGUAAUUUUCUCAAGACUUUUAAAGAAGUGAUUAAUAUUUAACUUUGCGUAGUAUUGUGAGUAUAUGAAAUUCUUAAAAUCGCGAGUGAGUGUUUUUGUUUCAUUUGGAGGACAUCAUACAAGUACAGUACUUCAGGAUGAAGCUCGGGCAUAGGCGAAAACAGUCAAUGGCUGAUGGUCAAGAAGAAGGAGUCAGUGUACCUGGUACUAACGUAUAAUCGGUGAAAAUACUUCAAGAAGGUAACAGUGUUAUUGCUCCACUGAGAGAAUCAUCGUCGGCAAGUCUUAAAAAAUUAUUAAAUUAUUAAAAUAAA
Leptopilina heterotoma is the source of this 3350-nucleotide RNA transcript. It is a transcript of the gene named kinesin-like protein costa, with no coding region annotated. The transcript has 4 exons. The record is from RefSeq and is a predicted model, not a curated record. NCBI's taxonomy places the organism in Eukaryota, Metazoa, Arthropoda, Insecta, Hymenoptera, Figitidae.